GGAGUUAAAAGAGGAGAUAAAGGAGGAAGAAAAGAGAGAAGAGGACAGAAGGGGACAAGCGACAGAGAGAUGUAAAAAAGAAAGAAAGAGGGGCAAGAGAAGAAUAACAAUAAUGAGGAAUUUCUGGUAAGUGAAAUUGAAGACUGAGAGAAGAAGAGAAGAGAAGAGAGAGUUAAAAAAAAGGAGAAAAGGAGAAAGAAGAGUGAAGCUGGAAAGCAGCAGUGAUGAAUGCGGCUCGGAUUCAUGACAAACACAAGCUGAAGUCGUUCUGGGAGCAGAGGAUCAUUCAACACAGCGAGCAGAUGGACGAGGAGGAGAACCGCAUGAGGAGCAGCUCUCUGACACGGCUGAGGGAGCAGUGGUCGGUCAGGUUGGAUCAGAGGAAUCAGCACCAACAGAGUUUCUUCGAGGAAAGACUCAGACGAGCUCAGAAAGCUCAGCAGAGCCUCAGGAAGCUCAGCUUUCCCUAAAAGUUCCAGAUCGAGCUGGGGAAGGUUACAAAAUCUAUCUUUUUAGAAACACAUAAAAUAGGCACCUUCUUAAGGAAGGUUUACCUUGCAUUUGAAACUAGCAUGGUAACAUUGUUUUGUCAUUACUUGUAUAUAUUAAGGAUUUUCCAUUGGCCUGGGUUGGUCCACUUUAGCCAUGAUGGGCCAAGUCAUGUCGUCAUGACAUGUGUUUCCACUACAGCUUGAGUAGCCGCUAGCAAGCCCCCAGGAAGAGCACAGGCCUUUGGAGCCAAUUUGACAUAGUGGCCAAACCACGUAAUUACAGCAAAAAGCUUUUUAUCUUAUAAGCUUACAUUGUAAAAUAAGCAGCUGUAAGAUGGUAGAUUUUUUGAGCAUCACAACCCUCGACGAAAUUACAUCAGAAUUUGAUCAGUCCGGUCUGAUAACAUUUGGAAAGUCUAGAAGAGUCGUACAAUUAAAUAAUUUUCUCCCCAUUAAAGUUAGCAUGUUGAACUGGAAGUUAGCGGCUCGGUCAGCAGUAGACUGCAGUGCUUGCUCUAUUGGCCCGCACGAUGUGAAAGCAGAUGUGGGUAAUUUUACACCGGGAAAUCAAACUUUUUUGACUUCAUGCGCCACUGAGCAGCUUCCAUAGAAUUUAAUGGGGCCUCGCCUCCAGCACUGUAUCUAUAUGUGAUUAAGGUGAGCACGAAAGGCAACAACUUUUACCACGUCCCCACAUUGUGUCAUCAAGUCAAGACAAGUUGCGGCAACGUGGCUUGCCUACUCAUGGCUCUUCGCAGCAUGGCUCAGUGUGACAACCUCCACCAUAAUAGAAAAGACUAUAUGUUGAUGUUGUUACUCCAUAACCACGUAAUCCAUGGUCUAGUAAAAGUAAAUAGAUAAAAUCUCCAUCUCCAAAUUAGUAUCUUCAACUUUACUUGCUUGCUUUACUUUUCAUCCUUGCAAAGAUGUAAAUGAAAUCAUUAAAAUGUAAAAACCCUUUGAAACUGUUUGGAAAAUGUCAUUCAACUUCAAGAUUUGUUUGUAGUGUUGAAUCAUUUUAUGCGACACCAGACUUAAAAAUAUAUAAAAGUCAUGAUGGUGAAGAAGCUGAGGUCGAUCCAGGGAGGGAAUGUGAUCGAAUCAUUGCUUUUCUGGAGAAUUGAUGUGGGCCAGUGUUGGGAAAUGUGACAGUGGUGUGUCUUUGAUGUGACCUUUUUCAGUUUUUAGCAGCCACAUUUUAAAUAAAGUUUGCCCUAAUAAAA
Dicentrarchus labrax (European seabass) is the source of this 1714-nucleotide long non-coding RNA. RefSeq lists it as uncharacterized. The record is from RefSeq and is a predicted model, not a curated record. NCBI's taxonomy places the organism in Eukaryota, Metazoa, Chordata, Actinopteri, Moronidae. The transcript has 3 exons.